This 497-nucleotide ribosomal RNA is filed under the name uncultured bacterium. Its description in RNAcentral is "partial 16S ribosomal RNA". It matches the Rfam family "Bacterial small subunit ribosomal RNA", at positions 28 to 507 of the family's 1533-position model. The record is from RNAcentral.
GAUGAACGCUGGCGGCGUGCCUAAUACAUGCAAGUCGAGCGAACAGACGAGGAGCUUGCUCCUCUGACGUUAGCGGCGGACGGGUGAGUAACAAGUGGAUAACCUUCUUAUAAGACUGGGAUAACUUCGGGAAACCGGUGCUAAUAACGGAUCAUAUAUCGAACCGCUUGGAUCAAUAGUGAAAGACGCUUUUGCUGUCUCUUAUAGAUGGUUCCGUGUCGGAUUAGCUAGUUGGUAAGGUAACGGCUUACCAAGGCGACGAUGCGUAGCCGAUCUGAGAGGAUGAUAAGCCACAAUGGAACUGAGACACGGUCCAGACUACUACGGGAGGCAGCAGUGGGGAAUAUUGGACAAAGGGCGGAAGCAUGAUACAGCCAUACCGCGUGGGUGAAGAAGGGCGUAGGGUUGUAAAGCCCUUUUGUUGGGAAAGAAAAGCAGCAGGUUAAUACCCCGCUGUUCUGACGGUACCCAAAGAAUAAGCACCGGCUAACUUCGUG